AAAAUUAAACUAAUUCUACAAACCUUUUUUAUUAAAAAUACUUUUAAUUUGUAUUUUUUCUUAAACAGCGAAUUUUCAUGUUUUAAUAAUCUAAAGCCUAAAUUUAAUCUCUACUCCUGACAGGUGCAGUGAGUCAGUCUGGUGUUGAAGUCAUCCAGAGCCCUGGUGUUCUACUGCUGAAACCAGGGCAGUCUGCUGUCAUGAACUGCACCCAGAGCACCUCUCAAACAUACAUGUACUGGUAUCAACAGAAGAACAAUGGACCUCUAAAAUUUCUCUUCUCCACUGCUAACUCUGAGGAAGUAACAGAGAAGAAUGAUGGGAUCCCUGACAGGUUUACAGUGUCCAGGAAAAGUGUGCCAAAAACAGAACUCAUGAUUACCGGAGUUCAGCCUGAAGACUCCGCACUGUACUACUGUGCAGCUUCACCACAGUGGUGAACCAUGUGGACUCUCCUGUCUAAAAACUACAAGGAGAGAGCAGAGGAGUUCACAGCAGCGAUCAAUGUGCAGCAAUCUCCAGCUUCUCUCUUCGGAAGUCUGCACAAAACAACCCUCCUCACCUGCAAACACGAUGACAGCAGCUAUCAGUACAUGUUCUGGUACCGGCAAGUGAAAGGACAGCAGCACUUGGAGCUUGUUGGAUUUCUUAAUUAUGAAAUGGUCAACCAGGACAAAGAGUAUGAAGGAAAGUUUAACCUCUCAGGAAAUUCACAGGAAAGUGGCUCUUUGCUUAUCUCAGGCUUAAAAGCUGAGGACAGCGGCAUGUAUUUCUGUGCAGCUAGUAUGCACAGUGGUAAAAGCUCUCUUUAAGGCUGUCAAAAUACAUUAACCACUGCUGCAGCUGCAAC
This is a non-coding RNA of Anguilla anguilla (European eel), 850 nucleotides long. Lineage: Eukaryota; Metazoa; Chordata; Actinopteri; Anguilliformes; Anguillidae. The record is from the annotation of a RefSeq genome assembly.